RNAcentral lists this long non-coding RNA (1051 nucleotides) under Linum usitatissimum (flax). RNAcentral describes it as "long non-coding RNA (LUSI_LNC003154)". The record is from RNAcentral. Lineage: Eukaryota; Viridiplantae; Streptophyta; Magnoliopsida; Malpighiales; Linaceae.
UUUCCUUUAUCCCCAAAAAGAACCCCUAAAACAUACAUCAAAUACUCACAAAGUCCCAAAAAAUAAAUUAUUACAAAACACUGCAAAAACGUUAAAAACUAAAGUAUACAACUUUUAUGUCGUCAUCCACGUAAAAGGCACCAAAAAGUCUUCUAUCGUCACUCACACCAUAAAGGGCGCCGCCACCUGAAACGCGACAAAAUAAUGAAGCUUCGAAUUAAGGUAAUCAUUCAAAACAUCCCUAUUCUAAAGCAUUCACACAUCAUUCAUACAUACACAUUAUUAUGCUAUAUCACUUAGCAACCUUCUAAACUACUCUAGAAUCCCAUGUUCGUUGCAACUAAUCAAAUGGACAUUUCAUUUCAAUAAACAACCAACUAAUGAGUGAAAUAAGUUUCCGAAAUCAAAUAAAAGUUGUUGGAAAAUAUUAACAAAGGGACUAAAAGGCCAUUUUUAAUCUUUUCACCAUUUGCACCAAGAACUUAAAAACUAUUCGUAGUACGAUAUAAAAAACAAGCUAAAAUACGAAUUUUUCGACUAAACAAUGUUGCUGGAAUUUUCUAAACAAUAGUAAAAAAUCAUGUUUUCCAAAUAGUAAUCUUUAAAAAAUAUAGAUUACUACUUGGAAUCUGAGUAACAAAACUAAUCAUGUUUUCAUCUUUAGCAACUCGUCAAUAAAAGAUAUUAACAAAGAAAAAUAGGGCAGAGUUUCUUUUUUUACCUUUCUCUUUGUCUUUGUGUUUUUAUCGCCGGCCGCAUCGCCGGCGGCGGGUCUCCCUUUUCCUAGCUGCUAGUUUUUCCCCUCUAAUAACAAAGAAAACACAAAACAAGACAACGAAGUCAAAAAAAUGAUUGAAACAAAGUUUUAGAACCCUAGAUCUACUUAUAAGUAGAUUGUGGUUUGCAUGUCGCUGGAGGACUUGACAGAGGCAUCCUCUGACACAUGCAAGCCCCGAUCCACUCAAAAUAAAAAAAAUUAAGGAGAAAAAGGCGGAUCCGAGUCUUACCUUUUUUACUCUUGGCCGGAGAGGGAAAGGCGGCGCCACCGCCG